RNAcentral lists this ribosomal RNA (328 nucleotides) under uncultured eukaryote. RNAcentral describes it as "partial 18S ribosomal RNA". It matches the Rfam family "Eukaryotic small subunit ribosomal RNA", at positions 1470 to 1796 of the family's 1831-position model. The record is from RNAcentral.
CCCUUAGAUGUCCGGGGCUGCACGCGCGCUACACUGAAGGAAUCAGCGUGCUAAAACCAUUGUCGAAAGGCAUUGGUAAACCCAUUAAAAUCCUACGUGAUUGGGAUCGGGAAUUGCAAUUAUUUCCCUUGAACGAGGAAUUCCCAGUAAGUGUGGGUCAUAAGCUCGCGUUGAUUACGUCCCUGCCCUUUGUACACACCGCCCGUCGCCGCCCGGGACUGAGCCGUUUCGAGAAAAGCGGGGACUGCUGCUGUCGGGGCUUUCGGGCCUUGGCUUCGGUGGAAACCGCUUUAAUCGCAGUGGCUUGAACCGGGCAAAAGUCGUANCA